GGCCGACUGGUGUAGUGGUUAUCACGUCUCGUUCACAAAAAGUUGAAUUUAACUGGGGUUCUUCCCACCGAGAAGGUGCCAGGUUCGAUCCCUGGGUCGGUCA
Non-coding RNA from Chaetomium strumarium, 103 nucleotides. Lineage: Eukaryota; Fungi; Ascomycota; Sordariomycetes; Sordariales; Chaetomiaceae. The record is from the annotation of a RefSeq genome assembly.